CCUACGGGUGGCAGCAGUGAGGAAUAUUGGUCAAUGGGCGGAAGCCUGAACCAGCCAAGUAGCGUGCGGGAUGACGGCCCUACGGGUUGUAAACUGCUUUUAUACGGGAAUAACGCGCCUUACGUGUAGGGCUUUGCAUGUACCCUAUGAAUAAGGACCGGCUAAUUCCGUGCCAGGCGCCGCGGUAAUCCGGAAGGUCCGGGCGUUAUGCGGAUUUAUUGGGUUUAAAGGGAGCGUAGGCCGCCUGUCAAGCGUGCUGUGAAAUGUCAGGGCUCAACCCGGGACUUGCCGUGCGAACUGGCGGGCUUGAGUGCGCGGAAAGCAGGCGGAAUUCGUGGUGUAGCGGUGAAAUGCUUAGAUAUGACGAAGAACCCCGAUUGCGAAGGCAGCUUGCUGGAGCGGAACUGACGCUGAGGCUCGAAAGCGCGGGUAUCGAACAGGAUUAGAUACCCGAGUAGUC
RNAcentral lists this ribosomal RNA (460 nucleotides) under uncultured bacterium. RNAcentral's name for it is "partial 16S ribosomal RNA". It matches the Rfam family "Bacterial small subunit ribosomal RNA", at positions 338 to 795 of the family's 1533-position model. The record is from RNAcentral.